This is a long non-coding RNA of Galeopterus variegatus (Sunda flying lemur), 899 nucleotides long. RefSeq lists it as uncharacterized. Lineage: Eukaryota; Metazoa; Chordata; Mammalia; Dermoptera; Cynocephalidae. The transcript has 3 exons. The record is from RefSeq and is a predicted model, not a curated record.
CCUCAGGUGGAAUUGGGGACUGUGUGGCUGUGAGCCGUGGUGCCUGCUAGAUGAAAACAGAAAUCAGUCCUGCUCUCCACGGUGGACAAUUCAUUACCUACCAGAGUGUCUCCCACUGAAGGCAUCCGCAGUUGUUCUUUAAGGAUCCAGUUUGUGGCACUAAGAAGGAAAGACAUCAGUGGAAAGGAGCCCCUAUCAGAGCAACAUGAAUUCUGCUAAAAUUGAAGCAAGGAGAAACAUCAAAUUUAUGGUGAAGCUUGGGUGGAAGAACGGUGAAAUCAUUGAUGCUUUACGAAAAGUUUAUGGGGAUAACGCCCCAGAGAAAUCAGAAGUUCACAAAUGGAUAACUCAUUUUAAGGAGGGACGAGACCAUUUUGAAGAUGAAGCCCACAGCAGCAGACCAUCCACAUCAAUUUGUGAGGAAAAAAAUUAAUCAUGUUCCUGCCCUAAUUAAAGUUGAGCAAAGUUUCCAAUCAGUGGGUAGCAAAACUGUUGUGCCCAGAUCAGCUGCAGAUAAGAGCAGAGUUUUGAAUGGAAAUUUAAACAAGUGGGAUCAAGAUCCUGAUGGAUUUCCUCGAAGAAUUGUAACAAGAUGAAUACAUUAUCCUGAAGGCACAGCACAAUCAAAGCCAUGGCUACCAAGAGGUGGAAGUGGUCCAGUCAAAGCAAAAGUGGACCAUUCAAGAGCAAAGGUCAUGGCCACAGUUUUUUGGGAUGCUCAAAGCAUUUUGCUUGUUGACUUUCAGGAGGGCAAAAGAAUGAUAACGUGCUCAUUAUGAGAGUGUUUUGAGAAAGACAGGUUUAGCGGAAAAACACCUGAGAAAGCUCCACCAGAGUCCUUCUCCACCACGGCAAUGGUCCCGCUCAUUCUUCUCAUCAAACAAGGGCAGUUUUAUGAC